This is a long non-coding RNA of Bos taurus (domestic cattle), 4001 nucleotides long. NCBI's taxonomy places the organism in Eukaryota, Metazoa, Chordata, Mammalia, Artiodactyla, Bovidae. The record is from Ensembl.
UGCCCCUGCGGCGCGCUGCAUUCUGGGCUGGCCGCUCGGCCUCGCCGGCUGGUUGACCGCGGCGCACGCGCGCUGCGUCGUUCCGCGUCUGCGCCCCCGCGGCGGUAGCGCGGGCGUGAGGUGGCCGUGCGGCUGGAGAGGACUCCGCAGGGUCGCCUGGCACCUCCCUCCCGGGCCUCUGGGGACGGGCCCCGCCGGGGAACGGGGGGCGUCGGCGGCCGGGCCUAUCCGGCUGAGCCCCCUGCUCGGGCUCGGCCCAGUCCGGGCUGUCGCACGCCACACCAAGAACCCCGGCUUCAGGGCGGCGUCCCUGGUACGCGGGUCCUCCCCGCUGGCCGCUCAGGCGCUUGCUCCCGGGCGGCAGAGACUGCGCACCCCCGACCUUUGUGCCCCGCCUCCCCCUCCCCACAGCUGGUCGUCGGGGGGUCGAUGAUGAGGUGAUGCAAGAAAAGCAGGCUGGGGGCCGUGGGGGUCGGCGGCUCCCGGGGCCCAGGGGUGGCCACCCCAGCAGGUCACCCCCACCGGCCUGCACGUCAGCGCUUCCCGGGGAGGCCCCACCCUGCUCCGCACCCCACCUCCAGCCUUUGCCCCUCUCAGGCCCUCCUCCGCCUGGAAGAUCUUUUCAGCCGUCGCCCCUCUCUGUCCGCCUGUCUUGUUCGCAGAGGUCAUCCCAGGGCACCACUUGGCGAGGUCCUGCACCUGCAGCAGUGUGCGCCUGUUCUCCGCGGUGCGGGAGUGUGGAACUCCUGAUCAAAGCCGGCGCCCCAGUCUUCAGCAGCUGCUGGAAUGGCAGUCUCCCCAGGAGGCUCCCCCAACACUCAGCCCUUACUGUCAAGAGGAAAUAGCUUGCCAGAGCUGCCAGGUGCUGGGCCAGGUUGGCCGCAGUCCCCACCUCAGGCGGGAGAGGGUGACGCUUGUCAGUGCAGGGCACCUUGAAGAUGUCAGAAGUGCCUGUAUUGGCCCUGGGCGGUGCGUGCUGUGGCCUUAAAUACAGGGUUAAUCUAAGCUCACAGAUAUUUGAAAUCCAGGCCCCACCCCGACCCCUCACCCCCUUGCCAACAAUCCAUAAAGCCGGGUUCCUAUCCGUGCCUCAGGAUGGGGAGGGGAGAAGGGGGUCACAAGGAAGGAUAGUCCUACCCCUUCCCUGCCAACCGAGGGCUAGGCCCGAGCCAGGGCCAGCAGGCCCUCAGAGUUGGACAGGACUGGCUUUUUAACGCCCAAAGGGUAGGAGUAUGGCUUGUCUCAGUACUAGGAACUGACAUUGGCCCUGAGCUGCCGAGCGCUCUGCCCCAAAGCUGUCCCCCAGCUGUUGAGAGGCAGAGGGGGUGAGAGUCAAAGCUGCUCCUUGGUAAUGCUUCAGGGUUCCACCUGGCCUGAGACCGGGCGGAGCAGGAGGCAGUGGCCAGCCAAUGGGCACGAGAGUCAGUCAGCAGGACUUCAAACAGCAAUGCUGCUCCCCUGCACUUGGGAUGGCACCCUUGGCCCAGCCGGGUGGAGUGGAAAGGAGAAAACCAAAACGAGGGUCGUCACAGAGGGGUGGGGGCGCCGAGCCUGGGGCCUCCGGGCACCAUCUCUGACGCUGUCUGCAAACUGGGCAGGGUACAGUGUUAGAGAAACUUGUUUCUCAACCAUCAGUAGCUUUACUGGGUUUCCUGAUUGCUAUAGAAAGAAUGUAUGCUCCCUGUAGCCAUUUCAAGUCUAUAAAAACAAGUACAAACUAACAGAAAUCUGGCGUCCUGGUGGCGGCUGGGAACACCCUUAAUGCCACAUGAAGUCUGCCUUCCUGCCCCGCCUCUCUUCAGGCUACAGUCAGAAUGCAGAAGCUGGUGCAGUGAGUUUAAAAUGAGCUCUUUCUGCCUUUUGCUUUUUUCUCUUUGGGAGGCUCCCUUUUCCACCCCACACACUGUACAUAAACUUUCAUAGUCGCUGCACAUUUACACAAGUGUCAUUUGUGUCAAUUUACACCUUUUUACGGAGAAGGCAACGGCACUCCACUCCAGUGCUCUUGCCUGGAAAAUCCCAUGGACGGAGGAGCCUGGUGGGCUGCAGUCCAUGGGGUCGCUGAGGGUCGGACACGACUGAGCGACUUCACUUUGACUUUUCACUUGCAUGCCUUGGAGAAGGCAAUGGCACCCCACUCCAGUGUUCUUGCCUGGAGAAUCCCAGGGACGGGGGAGCCUGGUGGCCUGCAGUCUAUGGGGUCGCACAGAGUCGGACACGACUGAAGCGAUUUAGCAGCAGCAGCACACCUUUUUACUCAAGUGACAGUUGAGAGAAAACAAGGUGGGAUGUCCGGGAAGCACACCUGCUCCACUGGGGGAGGCUAGAGGAUCAGGUUAGGAAUCGGGUUAAGGAGUCAGGUUAGAGAUCACGGGAGGUUAGAGAUCAAAAUAGGGAUCGAUCAGAGGUUCAGAAUAGAGAUCCGCUUAGGGAAUCAGGUUAGGGGUCAGAAUACCGGAAGAGGACUGUCAGGACUGUGUGCUGUUCGGCCACGCCCCAGGUGAAGGCGGGCAGAACUGGAUUGGACCAGGUUGCGGUUUUGCCCAGAGGUGUGAUGAAGGGAGAGGGCGGAGUCACGGUGUGUGCAAGACAGGGGCUUUAUCAAACUGCCCUGGUGGUCCAGUGGCUAAGGACUGGCCUGCCGAUCCAGAGGGCACAGGUGCAGUCCCUGGUGUGGGAAGAUGCCACGCGCCUGCCAAUCCAGAGGACACAGGUGCAGUCCCUGGUGUGGGAAGAUGCCACGCGCCGCAGGGCAGCUUAGCCCUUGCACCACAACUACGGAGCCUGCGCCCUAGAACCCGCCAGCUGCAGCCCCAGUGCUACAGCUGCUGAACCCAGGCACCCCAGAGCCUGUGCUUUGCAACAAGAAGCCACCCCAGUGAGAAGCCCCCGCGCACCGCAACCAGAGAAAACCCUCGUGCGGCAGUGAAGACCCAGCCCAAACCAACAACAAGAACAAAAAAACCCCGAUGUUAUAAGAAAGUAACUUUUGCUUGUUCUUUUACUUGAUAUAAAUGGAAUCAACUAGUGUGCCUGUUAAUACUUAAAAAGAAAAUCUAGCUGCUUUCACUUAGCAUUUUGUCUAUGGAAUUCAUCAGCAUAACAAACUAAUGGGUAACGUUAGUUUGCUGUUUUUCAUUGUUAGGCAGUGUCCCAUUAUAUGAAUAUGCCUGCUUAGUCGCUCAGUCGUGUCUGACUCUGCGACCCAUGGACUGCAGCCCGCCAGGCUCCUCUGUCCAUUGGAUUCUCCAGGCAAGAAUACUGGAGUGGGUUGCCACUGACUUCUCUGGGGAUCUUCCUGACCCACGGAUUGAACCUGGGGCUCCUGCAUUUCAGGUGGAUUCUUUACUGUCUGAGCCACCAGCGAAGCCCGCUUAUAUGAACAUACAGUUGAUUUAUCAGCGCUGUGGUUGAUGGAUCCUCCAUGUUCGGCCGUUCUAACGAAUGACACCGUUAAUAUUCUCGCGUGUGGCUUUGCUGCACGCACUUAAUGCCUCUGAUAGAACUUCUGGUCUGAGGCUGUGCUCAAGCUCAGCAUUACUAAGUACUGACAGCUGGUUUCCAGAAUGUUCCUACCAGCUUACCUGGCCACCAGCGGAGCAGGAGCCCAGGUCCCCAGAGUUCCAGUUACUGUGAUGGUAAUCACUCUUGAAGGUGGGGGCACAGCGUGGCUCCGUCUUGCAUUCCUCUCAUGAGUAAGGAUCUUGAGGCACUUUUUCAUAUACGUCUGAGCGUUUGGACCUCUUCUUUGAUGGAGUGCCUGUGUAAGGCUGGUUUCUUGUCCAUUUCCCCAUUGGUCAUCUGCCUUUUUCAUUCUGGCUUGUGAGAGUUCUUUGUAUAUUCUAGAUAUGGGCCCUUAGGUUAUAUGUAUUUCAAACAUUUUCUCACUCAGGAUUACCUUUUCAACUCCUAAUGGUGUCUUAUGAUGAAGAAAACUUGAUUUUAAUGCUUUAAUUUUUUUUUUUUUUGGUGACUGCUUUUUGUGAUUAAAGAAAUCUUUG